UACAGGGGGUGCAAACGUUGCUCGGAAUUAUUGGGCGUAAAGCGCGCGUAGGCGGCCACUUAAGUCGGAUGUGAAAGCCCCUGGCUCAACUGGGGAAGUGCACCCGAAACUGAAUGGCUUGAGUGCGAAAGAGGGUCGCGGAAUUCCCGGUGUAGAGGUGAAAUUCGUAGAUAUCAGGAGGAAUACCGAUGGCGAAGGCAGCCCCCUGGGCUGACACUGACGCUCAGGCACGAAAGCGUGGGGAGCAAACAGG
RNAcentral lists this ribosomal RNA (253 nucleotides) under uncultured bacterium. RNAcentral's name for it is "partial 16S ribosomal RNA". It matches the Rfam family "Bacterial small subunit ribosomal RNA", at positions 524 to 776 of the family's 1533-position model. The record is from RNAcentral.